CCUACGGGGUGCAGCAGUGAGGAAUAUUGGUCAAUGGGCGCGAGCCUGAACCAGCCAAGUAGCGUGAAGGAUGACUGCCCUACGGGUUGUAAACUUCUUUUAUAAAGGAAUAAAGUGAGGCACGUGUGCCUUUUUGUAUGUACUUUAUGAAUAAGGCUCGGCUAACUCCGUGCCAGCAGCCGCGGUAAUACGGAGGAUCCGAGCGUUAUCCGGAUUUAUUGGGUUUAAAGGGAGCGUAGAUGGGUUGUUAAGUCAGUUGUGAAAGUUUGCGGCUCAACCGUAAAAUUGCAAUUGAUACUGGCGGUCUUGAGUACAGUUGAGGUAGGCGGAAUUCGUGGUGUAGCGGUGAAAUGCUUAGAUAUCACGAAGAACUCCGAUUGCGAAGGCAGCUUACUAAACUGCCACUGACAUUGAUGCUCGAAAGUGUGGGUAUCAAACAGGAUUAGAUACCCUUGUAGUC
RNAcentral lists this ribosomal RNA (460 nucleotides) under uncultured bacterium. Its description in RNAcentral is "partial 16S ribosomal RNA". It matches the Rfam family "Bacterial small subunit ribosomal RNA", at positions 338 to 795 of the family's 1533-position model. The record is from RNAcentral.